RNAcentral lists this ribosomal RNA (640 nucleotides) under fungal endophyte. Its description in RNAcentral is "eukaryotic LSU rRNA". The stretch from base 156 to 309 matches the Rfam family "5.8S ribosomal RNA". The record is from RNAcentral. Lineage: Eukaryota; Fungi.
AGUUACCGCUCUAUAACCCUUUGUGAACAUACCUAACUGUUGCUUCGGCGGACGGCUCCCGGGCCCCCCGGCCCCGCUCUGCGGGGUGUCCGCCGGAGGAUAACCAAACUCUGAUUUAACGACGUUUCUUCUGAGUGGCACAAGCAAAUAAUCAAAACUUUUAACAACGGAUCUCUUGGUUCUGGCAUCGAUGAAGAACGCAGCGAAAUGCGAUAAGUAAUGUGAAUUGCAGAAUUCAGUGAAUCAUCGAAUCUUUGAACGCACAUUGCGCCCGCCAGCAUUCUGGCGGGCAUGCCUGUUCGAGCGUCAUUUCAACCCUCAAGCACUGCUUGGCGUUGGGGCUCUACGGUUGACGUAGGCCCUCAAAGGUAGUGGCGGACCCUCUCGGAGCCUCCUUUGCGUAGUAACUUUUGUCUCGCACUGGGAUUCGGAGGGACUCUAGCCGUUAAACCCCCAAUUUUCCAAAGGUUGACCUCGGAUCAGGUAGGAAUACCCGCUGAACUUAAGCAUAUCAAUAAGCGGAGGAAAAGAAACCAACAGGGAUUGCCCCAGUAACGGCGAGUGAAGCGGCAACAGCUCAAAUUUGAAAUCUGGCCCUUGGGCCCGAGUUGUAAUUUGCAGAGGAUGCUUUUGGCGCGGU